UUUCUUAAAGAAAGCCAAGUGAGGAUGGAUAUGUUAAGGACGCGCCAUGUCUUAAGAUCAUCAGAGGAGUGACAGCUAGCGAGCAUGCUAACUUACCCGAGAUGACAGCUCAGACUACCAGCAGCGCUACACAUAGCUGGGCAUUAUAUUCCAGUGAUCAGGGUUACUGCAGUGCAGCGUCUGACUUCAUGAUCAGUGUUGCCUUUUCCUGGGGAUAUCCUUCACAAACACAGAGCCUGAGAGUGGGACGGGAACAGGAAAGCGUUCACUUGGAGGAGGGUGGGCUGUGGCGAAGAGGUUGAGCAAGUGGAGCUCCUGCCCUACAGCUGUUGUGGUUCAAGGGCAGGAAGCAGCUUGGUUCCCACACAAAGGCUCAACUCUUUCCCACGGUCAUAGAGCACGUGGUUUAAAAUUGGAUCCUGAAUGACCCACCCUCCCUAUUGAAACGUCACUGCAGUUCAGCCAUUGAGAUCCUGUUACACUGCCAAAGAUGUUCAAGGCAUUUGAAUGAGAGUCUAUUGACCUGGCAAAGACACAUUCAACAAAACCACAGAACCUACAGACAAGUUAAGUCAGGUUUUAGAGUUAAGAGACUAUGAAAUUAUGUUUUCAUGUGUUGAAUAUAGACAAGUUCCACCCUUGUUUCUCAUUGCAGAGCAUGCAAAAUUUGUCCGGGCAGUGCUCCAUCAAUUGUGAACAAUUGGAUAAUCUUUUGUGCACACGCAAGAUGUUGAAAUGUUUAUGAGUGUGAACAUCGGUGACAUUGGGUAGGAUUAUGGACCACAAACAGACAGACAUCUAGACAGACAAACGGAUGCAAAGAGAGAUUUCUGUCAUUUCAACAAUUUUCUUAAUUCAAAGUGGUUGAAAAAGUUAAUAAAGUGAAUACACUUUACA
Molecule: long non-coding RNA, 897 nt
Organism: Carassius auratus (goldfish)
Lineage: Eukaryota; Metazoa; Chordata; Actinopteri; Cypriniformes; Cyprinidae
Exons: 4
Source: RefSeq, a predicted model, not a curated record